UGCAAGUCGAACGAUGAACCCCAGCUUGCUGGGGGGAUUAGUGGCGAACGGGUGAGUAACACGUGAGUAACCUGCCCUUAACUCUGGGAUAAGCCUUGGAAACGAGGUCUAAUACUGGAUAUUGACUUUUCCCCGCAUGGGGUUUGGUUGAAAGAUUUAUUGGUUUUGGAUGGACUCGCGGCCUAUCAGCUUGUUGGUGAGGUAAUGGCUCACCAAGGCGACGACGGGUAGCCGGCCUGAGAGGGUGACCGGCCACACUGGGACUGAGACACGGCCCAGACUCCUACGGGAGGCAGCAGUGGGGAAUAUUGCACAAUGGGCGAAAGCCUGAUGCAGCGACGCCGCGUGAGGGAUGACGGCCUUCGGGUUGUAAACCUCUUUCAGUAGGGAACAAGGCCAGCAUUUUUGUUGGUUGAGGGUACUUGCAGAAGAAGCGCCGGCUAACUACGUGCCAGCAGCCGCGGUAAUACGUAGGGCGCAAGCGUUAUCCGGAAUUAUUGGGCGUAAAGAGCUCGUAGGCGGUUUGUCGCGUCUGCCGUGAAAGUCCGGGGCUCAACCCCGGAUCUGCGGUGGGUACGGGCAGACUAGAGUGAUGUAGGGGAGACUGGAAUUCCUGGUGUAGCGGUGAAAUGCGCAGAUAUCAGGAGGAACACCGAUGGCGAAGGCAGGUCUCUGGGCAUUAACUGACGCUGAGGAGCGAAAGCAUGGGGAGCGAACAGGAUUAGAUACCCUGGUAGUCCAUGCCGUAAACGUUGGGCACUAGGUGUGGGGGACAUUCCACGUUUUCCGCGCCGUAGCUAACGCAUUAAGUGCCCCGCCUGGGGAGUACGGCCGCAAGGCUAAAACUCAAAGGAAUUGACGGGGGCCCGCACAAGCGGCGGAGCAUGCGGAUUAAUUCGAUGCAACGCGAAGAACCUUACCAAGGCUUGACAUGAACCGGAAACACCUGGAAACAGGUGCCCCGCUUGCGGUCGGUUUACAGGUGGUGCAUGGUUGUCGUCAGCUCGUGUCGUGA
RNAcentral lists this ribosomal RNA (1015 nucleotides) under Arthrobacter glacialis. RNAcentral describes it as "bacterial SSU rRNA". It matches the Rfam family "Bacterial small subunit ribosomal RNA", at positions 56 to 1070 of the family's 1533-position model. Lineage: Bacteria; Bacillati; Actinomycetota; Actinomycetes; Micrococcales; Micrococcaceae. The record is from RNAcentral.